CAAAGACCUUUAUUUACAACUCUCAUGUGGUUACCUCUGAACCUCCAGAAGGAAGCCUCCCUAAUCCCUGAAUUCUGGUCUCUGUCUUGUUUUACUGCUCUUAAAGAUUACAAGAUAAGUUACCAAUAAAAUAGGCGCUGAGCUGUUCUCGGGGAGUUGUGCGUCUCCGGGAGCUCUCCCCGUGCUCUCUCUCAUACUCCUAUGUGUUUCGAGAAUUAAUCAGUGCGAAACUGCUGCAAUUGGCACCGAAACAGGGACCUCCUGAAAGUUUGCUUCAUAUCCCCUCCUCAAGCCCGAGCAAGGGCAAAGGAUAUCUGCUCAUCCAGGACAUUGAUUGCCUCAUUUUCUUGGCUCACCCGCACUGAGGCGAUGCUAACGCUGUUCCUCUGACCAGAUCAGAAAUAUUCACUAAAGGAAACAAGAAGAGGGGAACUGUGGGAACCAUGUUUUACCGUUUUCUCAGAAAUGUAUCCUGGAAUUUAACCUUACUCAGUCCCUGUUUCUUGCUUGCUCUCCCCUACCCUUAAGUUAGACGUUCUGGCU
RNAcentral lists this long non-coding RNA (543 nucleotides) under Bos indicus x Bos taurus (hybrid cattle). RNAcentral describes it as "lncRNA (ENSBIXG00000026417.1)". The record is from RNAcentral. Lineage: Eukaryota; Metazoa; Chordata; Mammalia; Artiodactyla; Bovidae.